GCCUGAGGAAGCUUGUGAUCCAUUCUACCAGGAGCUUCCAGCUAAGGAAGGUCUCCCAGGGAGCCCCACAACUAAGGCACCCUGGAAGAACAAAACGGAUGAACAAUGCACACAACUCAGGUUUGGCAAAAGGAAAAGGAGAACUCACCGAGUGCACACGUUUUUCAGCGAGGAAUGGCUGGGCAGCUUUUGUUUCCUGUUUUAACCAAAGCCCUCCUGUGAAGGAAAUAACAAAGAUCACUUUUCCACCCCACUGCUGUAACUCAGACUAGAGAAAACCAUUUCCUGGUGUGUGGGACUGACAGAGCUCUCACCCACUUAAUGAGUCUGGCUGGGAACAUUUUCUUUGUUUUUGCUAUCGGAGCUUGCUGAGUGACCAUGCCACAUUUGAGAAAUUUUGACUAACUGUGAGCCUGCUUUUCCCAGCAGACCUUCCCCCUUCCCUACUUGCCUUCUCCCCCUCCCUCUUAUCCUCCUCCCCAUACCACCCCCCCAAAAAGAGAGGUCAGACUCAAAACACAGAAGGGAACAGCUUGGUGUUGUGGACUUGGAGUCAGAAACCCUGGAUUUGAGUCCCC
Phascolarctos cinereus (koala) is the source of this 578-nucleotide long non-coding RNA. The record is from Ensembl. NCBI's taxonomy places the organism in Eukaryota, Metazoa, Chordata, Mammalia, Diprotodontia, Phascolarctidae.